Molecule: RNA transcript, 2315 nt
Organism: Cebus imitator (Panamanian white-faced capuchin)
Lineage: Eukaryota; Metazoa; Chordata; Mammalia; Primates; Cebidae
Gene name: membrane-spanning 4-domains subfamily A member 4A-like
Exons: 2
Source: RefSeq, a predicted model, not a curated record
UUCAACUAUUUUUCUUAUAUAAUUAUUUUGGUUAAUAUACUCAAAUAGUAAUACAUAAUAGUCUACAUCUUUAUCUUGAUUUUGACUUUAAUAAGAUGGUCCUACUUCUUUAUCAUUAAACAUGAUAAAGACUUGUAGACUGAGAAAGAUGUUUUAUCAUGCUAUAGAAAGUAUGGUUCUUUAUAUUAAACCAAUAAUAUUUAAGUCACUAAUAAUAUUGAAUUGUAUUAAACAUCCAUCGUAUCAACACUAUAAACAUGAAAAGGAAUUCGCAUGUAAUAUUUUUCUUAAACUGAUUUAUUAUAUACAUUAUAAUAUUUCAAUAUUAAAAAUCUUUGUAGAGUUGAAGGAACAUCCCAAAUGUUUAUGAUGUAUUUCAUAUCCUAUGAUGGAUGAUUUGUUCUACUUUUGUUUUCCAAUGGUGAUUUAGAUGACAUGAAUCAUUUCUAUGUCUGAGUAUUUGAAAACUAAAGAAACUUAUUGAACUAUUUUAUUAGUUCAGUUUCUCUGUAUUAAGAUUUAGUUUUUGAAUAAUCUGGGAUCAAAUUUGCAAAGGGAAUUUUAAAAACCUCAAACAAUGGAAUAUUAUAAGGUAGAGAGUCUAAACCAAUUUGACUAGCUAUUUCGGCUAAAUGAAAAAUAAUUGCCCUAUUGUUGGAUUCAAAUGAAGUAAUAUAGUCAUCAAAUUAUUGGGAAUUAAAUUUUAUGUGCUAAUAUUUUAUUUUAUAAAUUUUUAAACAUAUUUUAAUGAGAAUGAUUUUAGUGUAUUUUUUAUUAUAUUUAAUAUUGAUAUCAUAUAAGAAUUACUUCUUAUCAAGAAUUUGUAAGGUUUAUCUUUUAGUGCCCUCAAACAGUUUUAAUGCCAUUCCAGUUAGCUAUUAUUUGAAAAGCUUGGUAAAUUAUCUGUUAGACUCAUCUGGCAGAAUUUGUCUGUUCUUUAUGGAAAAAGAGAAAAUUACGUGCAAUCUCUUGUUUUCUAAGAUAAUUGACCUGUUUAUACAUAUCUAUCUAAUUUGGAAUUAAGUCUAGUACAUGGUGAUUUCCAAUACCUGUUUAAAGUUUUUUAUCUUCAUUUUUUUCCUCUCAUUCCGAGUUUAUUAUUUCAGGAUCCUUGUCAGUUGCAGCAGGAAUUAGAACUACAAAAGGUCUGGAAUCAUCUGAAGAAUUCAAGCUGGAGAAUAAUAGGAUCAUAUUUGUGUUCGGGCAAGAGAUUAGAGUUGAAACCACUAUAAGGAGACAACAUAGAAGACUAUUGAAAUAAUCAAGCUAAAGAUAGAUGGCAGUAAGAAAUGGUGGGUGUAAAGUGAUUCAUGGAGAUAUAUCUGAGUGGCUGUCAGAUUGCUUAAUUAAUUUUCAUUUCUUUCUAGGUCAGAGGUAGUCUAGGAACGAGUAUCAUCAGCUCAGUCUUGGCUAUCUCAGGGAUCAUAAUCAAUGCAAUAAGCUUGACGUCUUAUCUAUUCCAUUACCACUUCUGUGGCUACAAUCAGUUGUCAAAUAAUUGUUACAUGACUGUCCAUUUUAAUGGUGAGUGCUUCAUCUUUUCAUGAGAUACUAUUAUAGAAGCAAGUUUGGGGGAGUGCUAGCUCUGGCAAUGACAAUAAUUAACAUUCCCUAAUUGCUGACUGACUUUGGAAGUUGGAAAUGAUUGAGAAAUAGAAUACUAAUCUUUUAUUUAGGAGUUAGGUACACAUCUCAUCUCUGUCUUUAUUCUUCCUCUAUAUGUGGUGAGACAAAAUGGGAGGAAAGCUUAUGGUUAUUGAACACCUAGUCCUUAAUAGUUACUGUGUUGGGUAUUUUGCAUAAACUUUUCUGUUUAAUUUUAAAACAUUGAUGUAAUGUAUACUGUUAUCUUCUAUAAAAAUGGGACCCAGAUGUCGGUCCCGAUUCUCUAAUAAUAAAGUAAAAUUGUCUUGAACAGCAUGUUACAAGUGGUGAGUAACUCAGUAUCCUUUCCGACAUCUUUGGAUGUUCUUGCAAGAUUAACCACUUCCUCAACAUGUGGCACCCGAAAAAUUCCCAAUCUCCAUUCUAAAUUUUACUACCUUUUUUGUACCAGUUGUGCUUAUUUCAAUGCCAUCUUAAUUGCUUUAUUCAGAAAAUUGUCACUUAUACAAUAUUUUGUAGAUAAUAAAAUUUCUUGAUUUUUUUUUUUUUUGGCCAUUGGGUAAGUGUAAGGAGGAAGAGUUUUUGCAGCACAUCACAGCAGACUAAAAUGCACAAUUAAAUCUUUAUUAUUAAAAGGCCUAUUGGCCGGGCACAGUGGCUCAUGCGUGUGAUCCCAGCACUUUGGUAGACAGAGGCAGGUGGAUCACCUG